GCAGAUCCAGCCGCCCGGCCGCACAGCAUUGCACAGUGCCAGGCCUCAUAAAACAUCCUGUGCCAGAGCAAAUGUCCUCCUUACCAUCACAGACGGGAUUACAGUAAGAGGUGACACCAGUACGUAGAUAACAGAGCAUUUCCAGUAGAGGUGACCCUACCUUAAGGCUCUCUCCAGAAACAAAUUCUACAAAAUAGUCAUUUGGACAAAUGUUUCCAGUCACUGGCAGCAAGCAGAGAUGUUCCAGCAGAGAAAUCAGAGAGAAGGUGCACAGAGGGGCAGCCUGUUAGGGAUCCUGGUUCAAAGAGUGCCUGCAGCAGCUGAGAGGAAUCUGCCAGUAGGUUGAACAAGAUCCAGUACUGGUAGCAGGAAAGCCUCAGGGAGCAGUAAAGAGAACUUGAGGCUGGACUGACCUGAUUUAUAGCCUGUGCAAGGAAAGAUUUCAUACUUCCAAGAGGGGAAAAAGUAUUGCCUUCACGUGCAGACCAGCUCUGAAUUUUUGGACGCUCCGUCAGCUCCAGUAAGCAUCACGUGCACUUUUCACAGAGAAGAUCUUCAGUUCCACAAUUGCCCA
Hyla sarda is the source of this 574-nucleotide long non-coding RNA. RefSeq lists it as uncharacterized. Lineage: Eukaryota; Metazoa; Chordata; Amphibia; Anura; Hylidae. The transcript has 6 exons. The record is from RefSeq and is a predicted model, not a curated record.